GUGCCAGCCGCCGCGGUAAUACAUGUGGGGCAAGCGUUGUUCGGAAUUACUGGGCAUAAAGGGUGCGUAGGCGGCUUGUUAAGUCAGGGGUGAAAGUUUUCGGCCCAACCGGAAAAUGGCCUUUGAUACUGGCGAGCUCGAGUGCGUGAGGGGUGACUGGAACGAGCAGUGUAGCGGUGAAAUGCGUAGAUAUUGCUCGGAAGGCCAACGGCGAAGGCAGGUCACUGGUACGCAACUGACGCUGAGGCACGAAAGCGUGGGGAGCAAACAGGAUUAGAUACCCUAGUAGUCC
This 292-nucleotide ribosomal RNA is filed under the name uncultured bacterium. RNAcentral describes it as "partial 16S ribosomal RNA". It matches the Rfam family "Bacterial small subunit ribosomal RNA", at positions 505 to 796 of the family's 1533-position model. The record is from RNAcentral.